AAAAGGUGGCUAUGCUACCGCUUUUGGAUGGGCCCGCGGCGCAUUAGCUAGUUGGUGGGGUAAAGGCUUACCAAGGCAAUGAUGCGUAGCCGAACUGAGAGGUUGAUCGGCCACAUUGGGACUGAGACACGGCCCAAACUCCUACGGGAGGCAGCAGUAGGGAAUCUUCCACAAUGGGCGAAAGCCUGAUGGAGCAACGCCGCGUGGGUGAAGAAGGUCUUCGGAUCGUAAAACCCUGUUGUUAGAGAAGAAAGUGCGUGAGAGUAACUGUUCACGUUUCGACGGUAUCUAACCAGAAAGCCACGGCUAACUACGUGCCAGCAGCCGCGGUAAUACGUAGGUGGCAAGCGUUAUCCGGAUUUAUUGGGCGUAAAGGGAACGCAGGCGGUCUUUUAAGUCUGAUGUGAAAGCCUUCGGCUUAACCGGAGUAGUGCAUUGGAAACUGGGAGACUUGAGUGCAGAAGAGGAGAGUGGAACUCCAUGUGUAGCGGUGAAAUGCGUAGAUAUAUGAAAGAACACCAGUGGCGAAAGCGGCUCUCUGGUCUGUAACUGACGCUGAGGUUCGAAAGCGUGGGUAGCAAACAGGAUUAGAUACCCUGGUAGUCCACGCCGUAAACGAUGAAUGCUAAGUGUUGGAGGGUUUCCGCCCUUCA
This 653-nucleotide ribosomal RNA is filed under the name uncultured bacterium. RNAcentral's name for it is "bacterial SSU rRNA". It matches the Rfam family "Bacterial small subunit ribosomal RNA", at positions 202 to 842 of the family's 1533-position model. The record is from RNAcentral.